RNAcentral lists this ribosomal RNA (274 nucleotides) under uncultured bacterium. Its description in RNAcentral is "partial 16S ribosomal RNA". It matches the Rfam family "Bacterial small subunit ribosomal RNA", at positions 523 to 796 of the family's 1533-position model. The record is from RNAcentral.
AUACGGAGGGUGCAAGCGUUACUCGGAAUCACUGGGCGUAAAGCGCGCGCAGGCGGCUAUUUAAGUUGGAUGUGAAAGCCUACGGCUCAACCGUAGAACUGCAUCCAAAACUAUUUAGCUAGAGUGUGGGAGAGGAAGUUGGAAUUAGUUGUGUAGGGGUAAAAUCCGUAGAGAUAACUAGGAAUACCAAAAGCGAAGGCAAUCUUCUGGAACACUACUGACGCUGAGGCGCGAAAGCGUGGGGAGCAAACAGGAUUAGAAACCCUUGUAGUCC